RNAcentral lists this ribosomal RNA (337 nucleotides) under uncultured bacterium. RNAcentral describes it as "bacterial SSU rRNA". It matches the Rfam family "Bacterial small subunit ribosomal RNA", at positions 28 to 369 of the family's 1533-position model. The record is from RNAcentral.
GAUGAACGCUAGCGGCAGGCUUAACACAUGCAAGUCGAGGGGUAGAGGAAGCUUGCUUCCUUGAGACCGGCGCACGGGUGCGUAACGCGUAUACAAUCUACCUUUUACAGAGGGAUAGCCCCAGAGAAAUUUGGAUUAAUACCUCAUAGUAUUUUUCGGAUCGCAUGAUUUGAUUAUUAAAGUUCCAACGGUAAAGAUGAGUAUGCGUCCCAUUAGCUAGAUGGUAAGGUAACGGCUUACCAUGGCUACGAUGGUAGGGUCCUGAGAGGAGAUCCCCCACACUGGUACUGAGACACGGACCAGACUCCUACGGAGGCAGCAGUGAGGAAUAUUGGAC